AAUAAGUGUAGUUUUAGCACUGUUCAUGUUUAACGUUUGACCGUUCGUCCUAUUUGAAAAAAUAUUAUGAUUAGUAUUUUUAUUGUUAUUAGAUGAUAAAACAUGAAUAGUACUUUAUGUGUGACUAAUUUUUUUAAUAUUUUUCAUAAAUUUUUAUUUUUUCAUAAAUUUUUUAAAUAAGACGGAUGGUCAAAGUGCUAAACACGGAUAUCUAUGGUUGCACUUAUU
Molecule: microRNA precursor, 228 nt
Organism: Oryza rufipogon (brownbeard rice)
Lineage: Eukaryota; Viridiplantae; Streptophyta; Magnoliopsida; Poales; Poaceae
Rfam family: MIR812 microRNA precursor family
Source: Rfam